RNAcentral lists this ribosomal RNA (248 nucleotides) under uncultured Planctomycetales bacterium. RNAcentral's name for it is "partial 16S ribosomal RNA". It matches the Rfam family "Bacterial small subunit ribosomal RNA", at positions 434 to 674 of the family's 1533-position model. The record is from RNAcentral. Lineage: Bacteria; Pseudomonadati; Planctomycetota; Planctomycetia; Planctomycetales.
GUCGGGAGUUAGGAAAUGCAGGGGUGUUAAUAGCGCUCUUGCUUGACUAAGGCUCCAGAGGAAGCCACGGCUAACUCUGUGCCAGCAGCCGCGGUGAUACAGAGGCGGCAAGCGUUGUUCGGAAUUAUUGGGCGUAAAGAGCACGUAGGCGACCUUGUCAGUCAGUUGUGAAAGCCUUCCGCUCAACGGAAGAAUGCCAGCUGAUACUACAGGGCUUGAGUACGGGAGGGGAGAGUGGAACUUCUGGU